CGUGGCCUCCUUGGAAUCAUAAACGACUCUCGGCAACGGAUAUCUCGGCUCACGCAUCGAUGAAGAACGUAGCAAAAUGCGAUACUUGGUGUGAAUUGCAGAAUCCCGUGAACCAUCGAGUUUUUGAACGCAAGUUGCGCCCAAUGCCAUUUGGUUGAGGG
This 161-nucleotide ribosomal RNA is filed under the name Youngia japonica. Its description in RNAcentral is "5.8S ribosomal RNA". The stretch from base 25 to 161 matches the Rfam family "5.8S ribosomal RNA", at positions 1 to 135 of the family's 154-position model. Rfam says of the family: 5.8S ribosomal RNA (5.8S rRNA) is a component of the large subunit of the eukaryotic ribosome. It is transcribed by RNA polymerase I as part of the 45S precursor that also contains 18S and 28S rRNA. Functionally, it is thought that 5.8S rRNA may be involved in ribosome translocation. Lineage: Eukaryota; Viridiplantae; Streptophyta; Magnoliopsida; Asterales; Asteraceae. The record is from RNAcentral.